CAAAAAGAAAAAAAAUAGAUACAAAAUAUUCUGAAUGAUAUUAAACAAACUUAAGGAACAACCGGAAGAAGAAAGGAAAAGAUAGUAAGCUUGGGACCAAUUACUUUCCAGCUUAAACUCAAUAACUCCGCACUUACUAAGCACGAUAAUAUUUAACAAAAUGUACUAUCUGAGUAUACAUCAAGUAAGGGGGCGUAUACGUAACUAUAGUUAAAGUGCAUAAAAAUGAGCAAGAUGCAAAAACGAAAAGACCCGAAAUAUUAUAUGUGAAAGUAAGCAAAAAACACUGAACUUUUCCAGAAAUCCACUGCAUGUAGCUGAAUGAAAAAUGUCAAAGGAAACGAAAAAUUAAGAACUGUUGAAUAUUUAUUGCGCUUACUUGCAAAUUAGUGUGCAAACGGUGGUGUGUCGAAGCGAAAAAGUAGUUUGAAAGUACAAUUGAGUGUUUGUUAAUGAAAUGUCAAUAAGGGAAUGCAAUUAAAGACUCAACAACUGCAACAGUAAAGAAGUUGAUGUUGGUCGAAAGCGGCAAACGGGAAACAGAUACAGAAAGUGUUCAAAAAGAAAGUAACUAAAAAACUUUUAUGUUGCACAAUGUUAACAGAGGCGCAACCAGUACUAGUUGAGGCCUGUGGGAGCACUGCGCAUAUGAAAAUCGCUUUUUGUAACUGCGAAAACAACAAGGAAAAUACCAAAUAUGAAAACAACACAUACAACAGCAAUCAACAUGCUUGCCACACGUACAACACGCGUGCCAUAAGCUACGAAAAACGAUUUUUCAGCAAAAAGUUUAGUCUACUUUUAGGCGUUCGCUCAAGUAAUCAAGUAAAAUGUGUGCUAACGCGGGAGUUGUGUUUUUUCCAUGCUUGUAGACGACGCAGAAAGCGCAGAAAGACCAAGAGUGUUGGAAAGAAGAACACCAACAACAACAUCAAUAACAAAUGUAGCUGCAACAUGCGUACAACAAGCGCUAGGUAUUGCAAAAUAAGAAGAAGAAAACGCAUACUCCGUUGGCAAAUUACAAGCGGUGGUAGUAGUUGUUUCGACGAGGCAACAAGAACAACAUCAAGCUUAAUGCUUGCGGAUUACAUUGACAACGGCAUGUUGCAAGCGCGAAAUAACAAUUGCCUGCGAACGGAAGCGCGAGCAACAACCAAGAACGCUGUUGCUACGCAGAUGAUGCCUGCUUCACCACCACCAACAAAAACCACAAUAGCAAGACUAAUGAUAAAGCUCGUGAAGCGCGAUUGUUGGUUAGGCAAGCGGCGACUGUGGGCAGCGUUGAGCAGAGUAAAGCAGAAGCUAACUAGGUGCAACUACAUGUUGUCUCCUGUGCAACAACAGCAACAGCAACGCAUUCAACAACAACUUCCUACACCUGCCACUGCAAACGCAUUAUCGUGCCGGCUUCCGACUGAUGGCGAGCAAAUGCCGUUAGAAGGACAAGCUAGAACACAUGAGCAGCACAAACUAAAACAAGAUCUCCAACUAGAACAACAACAACAACACUGCCUACUACAAACACAGCAACAACAUGCCAACAAUGUGCAACAUCGAAGUUGGCGAAAUUUAAUUGGAUGUGCUGCAGCAAGCACAUUUACCCCGUUGACAGUCACUAAUUUAAUAAAUACAAUUACAACAACAACAAAUAAUCCCACGACUAAAACAACAAACAGCUCGUCGCCUGCCGCGCUUGUAACCGCAAAAAUUUGUACGCAGAAAAUCGUUGCACAGGCAACAGUAGACAUAACAGACACGAGAACAACAACAGCAACAACAACAAAAAUGACCACACAGCGCCGCCUGCUUAACACCACCGCGCCACUCAAAUCUAAGUGUGGGAGCGGUAGUAGCGUGUUGACAAGCGCAUUAAGGGCGAGAGAGAAAACAACAAAAACAACACGUAUCACAACCACGCAUCAAAUAAUAAAAACUGAAAACGCGACUGAAAAAUUAAAAUUAGCUCAAAGCAGAACAGCAGCGGUCGUGUUCAGUGAUAUUUUAACACUAGUUUUUGGUGUGCUGACGUUGCAAGCAACCGUGCUGCGUUGCCUCCUUUUGCCGACAUUGAUGGCGCUGCUGAUGAUGGCGACUACGUCGUCCACUGUGUCGGCCGUACCCUUGGUGGAGCUGAGCUCACUGCAUUUACCGACACAUCAACAAGCGAGGGAGAAAGACUACAGCAGCAGCAGUAGCAACAACAACAGUUACAGUGACAAUAAUAACAACAGUCCAUUCAACGUAUUAAGCAACAGCAAUAACUUAACUUUCGAAUCAACUUCAAUACAAACUUACAAUCAACGAAACACACAGCUCUUGUUGACCACACCCCCCGAGUCACUCUUGCGCGCCACCCCGCCACCAGCGAGACUAGCGCGUAUGUUGGACAUUGAGGUGUUGAAUGGCAGCAGCAGAGGUAGCAGCGCAAACACCUUGAAGAGUCUUUCAUCUACCCUACACAUGGAGGGGUUGCAGGAGUUAGGCCAAGAGGAUGUAAAUCAGUUGCCAAUCUUUGACUUUGGACUGCCGCGUAAUAUAACGGCACGUACCAGUCAAGCGGAAGCCACAAUUAAAUGUCGGGUCGAGCGUUUGGACGACAAGUCGGUCUCGUGGAUACGUAAACGUGAUUUACAUAUACUGACCGUUGCCACAGCGACGUAUACAUCGGAUAAACGCUUUCAGGUGACUUCCUCAAAAGAUGAUCGUGAAUGGGUGUUACAUGUUAAAUCGCCGCAGGCACGUGAUACCGGCAUCUAUGAAUGCCAAGUGAAUACGGAGCCAAAAAUGUCAAUGGCGUUUCAGUUGAAUAUUAUCGAGAUACCCGCCGAUUCACGCGCCAUCAUCAGCGGCCCAGCGGAUCUGCAUUUCAAAGUCGGCAGCGCAAUUAUACUCAACUGUCAUGUGCAACAGCCGAGCAUUCGUGAUAUUGGACCGAUUUAUUGGUAUCGCGGUGAGCAUAUAAUUACGCCAUUCGAGCUCGACGAUGACGACGAUGAAGUCAGCAAGAGUAGCAGCAACAACAACGGUCAUACUCAUAGCUACGGCAUUGACAUUGCCACACCAGCAUUGGCAGACAAUGAGCUGGAAGUUGAUGUGACAGCGACGAUAACAAAUGCCAAUGCCUUUCCCGGCGGUGGAGCUGGAGCUGGAUCUGUUGCCAUCGCUGGAGGCAGAGGUCGUACGAAGGCGGCAGCUGCGACGACGACAAGUGCGUUGGCAGUGCAACAUGACGGCUUAAGCAACGACAUAACGCCGGACUUUACGGCGCGCAUUGCAAUGGAAUCACAGUUGGGUGACACAAUGAAAUCAAGGUUGCGCAUCUCGAAUGCACAGACAAGGGAUACAGGGAAUUACACUUGUCAGCCGACAACAGCGAGCAGCGCCAGCGUCAUGGUACACGUGAUUAAUGAUGAAAAUCCGGCGGCCAUGCAAAAAAGCAGCGCCAGUUCAAUACACACAACAACAACAGCAACAACGAAGACAAAGCUCCAAACAAACACGCUGUACCUACUGUUGCUGACAGCAAUAGCGACGACAACAGCAGCAAUGGCAGCAGCAGCGACAACAACAACACUGCUGCUGGAAACACUAAUGACAACGGCGCUCGUAAUAACGAGUACAACAGCAAUAAAAGCAGCAACAACAGCAACGAGGCUAUUAUCCUGCUACUUCUCUACCGACACAGUGCGACAGGAAGUGAGCUGCUGUCGUGGUCAGUAUCACCAUCGGCAGCAUCAUCAGCAGCACCAGCUGGCGCUACACAAGCAACAAAGCAAACAGUUGACGUUCGAGUUGGAGCUUUAGUUGUGACAGUGGCAGUAGCUGGAGUAACAACAAAAACAAAAGCAACAGCAGUAGUGUACUAAACAGCCAUAAGGGGAUCCUGCGGAAUGUCUCAAGCAGUGGUCUUUAGUGAUAUUUUUGUUGUAGUUUUCUAUUUUUGCUUCUUUGCUUUCGAUUGCGCUUUCGUUUCAUUUACCAGAUUAUUUUAACGGUUGUUUUAGAUAUAAAUGUAUUUUUUAUUAGAGUAUCUUUAUAUAUUUUGGCCAGUUAGAGCUGUCAUCGAGCUGAGUUUAUCGAAACAGAGGCAUGAACCGAAAAACUGCUACCAGCUGCAUCAACCGAGUAAGUCUUAUAAGAGUUGGAGCCGGGAACCAAGCUCUCAUGGUAUAUUUCACGUAGCCGAUGUAGGAACUAGAGACUGCACAACUAUCUGAGGUCCGAGCACUUUGCAAGGUGCAAUCAAUCGCAAUUCUACUUUCUACUUCAGACCAAACCUGGGCUUCGACAAAGAGUUGAGAAACCCAGAUAUUGAGUCAUACUUUGAGAUUAGUAUGAACGGAAGCUGGGGUUUCAGUGGUAAUGUGAGAUAAUCCGCAGCACCACUCUUUCAGCACUGAAGUCUUAAUGAACACUGUAAGUGCAAGACGUCCGUUUGAAAAUACUGUGCCAGCCCCGGUUGGGCUUACCAAGAAAUUUCGGAGCAUAGGUCUUCGAUGCUUCCGAAUGUGCAGAUCAUACUCAUCUCACCCUUAUCAGGACCGUAAAUGAUCACCAAACAAACAGCCAAAUCUGCUCCCACAUCUCAGAUGUUAGUCAUAAUAUCAAUACCAACAACAAUGUCAGCCUUGAAGUCCAAUGUAGAGAAUUUUUGGCCAAGAGGUGAUACUUCGACUAACCAGCACCAAACUCUACAAGUACCGUACUGUUAUGGUCAUGACCUCAGAUUGGCAGAGAAAGAGACAAAUCUGUAUUGUGCUAGAAAUCAAAAAGAGGAGGAUCUGGUGGUUGUACCGGCCUUGUCCGACUAAAUGCUAAAUGGUGAAAAGAAGAAACAACUGGCGUCACUAAAUAAGCGGAAGAAAUGAAAGAGCUCGAUGAGAGCGUAAGUGUCGUCCACGUUUAGCCGAAGUUUAAAAACUUCAAAGCCGUAGUAUUUGACCCCUACCGAGGCAACCGAGAGUUGAUAGUGCGCGGAAGCCGAAGAUUUGAAGUUUAUUACCAUCGAAGACGGGCACAUUCGGAAAUACAGCCGGCCAUAUCGUCACUUCAUAUCCGACACCGAAGUUCCGCCAUCAAAGUUCCUCUAACAAACAUCGUAGCUGAUGUUACAAGCUAAAGCUGCUGCUGCCGUUGGCUAGCGACACUGUCAACCCAGCUGAUAGUAACAAGCAUAACAACAACAACAACGCUGGUAGGUUAUUACUGUAAACAUAAUGUCAGGUGCCUGGCAGCUCUUUCACAUCGCCGGGCUUGAAUGCGUUUGUCAGUGGCAGUUGCUGGACGUAAGCUCAUCAAGAACAGCAGCAAUAGCGGCAACAGCAAAAACACUGCAAUGCAAGCAUGAUUGGUAGCCGCAAAACGGAAAAAGAAACUGCGAGUGUUAAGCUCGCUAUGAGCUUUACGUCUCAUUCUUCUGGGUUUUCUUCAUUUUCUUCUUGUUCCACAAUGUCGUUCCUGCUUCUUCUCCUUCUCUUGCUUCCUUUAAAUUUAUUUUACUCUUCCACGCAGACUGCGUCUCUGCCUGCUCUGGGUCUUACUCUGAACUUUUGCAUGCAACCAACUUUAGUGACUACACAUUCUUCCUGUCUCGUGCUGACGCAUUUGAGCAAAGAAAUUCCAAGCACACACAUUGCUUCGCAGGGCUUACGGAAAUCAAAAAAAAAAAACAAAUUACAGAAGAAGACUAAGCAGAUGACGUUCCAAAUAGCUGACGUCUAAGAAAAUGUCGUUGCCAAUGAGGAAGACCACCAGGCAGUGAAACAAUCUCAUUGAGAGACUACCGUCUUUGUACAGCGACAACGCAACAUUGCAGCAAUAAAACUCUAUGGGACAUGCCACUCAAGGGAGAACUGCGUAUUGGAAAGUCCACACCCAUACAUGCGCACUCCCACACACACGCCGUUUACAAGGAAUUCCUUAGCUGCCUGGGCAUUGUUGUUGGCGCGUACUCUGAGCCCUUAUGGACAUUGGUUACUUCAUUUGCUGAUUGCUUGUCCGUACAGGAAGCGUUGUAAAUAUGUAAAAUAUUACUUGGGCUCUGGAUUCACGGUGACAUGAGAAAAGGGGCGGGGAGGGGAGGAAGUAAGCAAAUCAAAUAUUAACAAAGCACCAAAAUUACGAAGAGGCAAAAAAAGAAAAUAAAUAAAUAGGAUCAAAUUAAGCAAAUAAAUAUAGACGAUGUGCAGGCGCAACGAGUGAGACAGCCGAGGUGAAUGAUUCACUUACCGAGUAGAGAAUUGAGGCAACAGAACACAACAAACCGCUUAAAUAUUUGCAUUUCAUUUUGUUAAAAGGCCAAUGAAGUAGACAAAGAAAUGGAAUUCGUGGUAAUUCUUAAGUCGACAUCAAUUACAGUUAUACAAAAUAUUAUGCACGCAGCGCUCAGAGAGAGAGAGAGAGAUAUUUUGUAUCAUACAAAGCUCUUUUCCUUUUAAAGCUUUAUAAAAAAAAUAUUUUUAGCUCUUCUUCUUCUUAUAUCUCCAGAAAUUGUCACAAACCACCACGAGCCAAAACCAAUGUGUUUGUGCUAUACAUAAAGUUCCCGAUGUUUCUUUUGCAGUUUGGCUUAAGCGUAGUCUCAAAUCGUGGUUUUUAGGUUCCUCUCACAAAAACUGGUUGAUGCUUCUUCGAUUGAACAAUCUCUUUCUACAUUAAUUUACUUUUCGAGCUCUUUACUAAUUUUCGUUUAAGAAUAUAGUCGAAGUCUUGAGGUUCUACUUCGUCACUAGCGUCCACACCGCUUACACUCACCCGCCUUUUCGUUGCGUGACCCAUUCAUUUUAAUUGAGGAUCUACACGUCCUCUGUUAGCACCGGCAGCUCCAGCAUCGACCACAUAAUCUAGCCAGCGUAGUUGCAGGCUCUUGUUUUAGCAGUAUUCUCUUUUGUGUGGCACGUCCGUGCACAUGGUCUUAUAUAUAGAAUAGAAUGAUUGACUUUUCUGUAAGAAUCCAAAGUCUGCGGACAUUCUUCCAUUCGAUACUGCUCAAAGUUGUUCCAAAGAAAGUCUACAGUGCUUCAGAUAGGCAUUUCUGCGCAUAAGGAAUUCGAUUGCAAUUAAAGUCUAUGAAACUUCUCUUCUCAAUACAAACUCAUAGACUUGGUGAUAUGUUUGAUUAAAAACUUGAUCUGGAUUCGAUUCUCUAAUGUCACUCAAACGAAGCCACUCAAACAAAUCAGAUCAAAAAUGCUCAUCACUUUUUUUUACAUUAACUCACCGCUCAUAUUGUCUAAGAAUAUGAACCCUCAACCCUCAAAAUUCUGUUUCUAAGAUACGAAGAAUGUUCGAAACAUGCCCAGCUCACUCUGCCGCAGAAGAGAUGAGUUGGUUGAUCUGGAAAUUACAAAUCAAUGUCAAUUUCAAAGAGUUAAGUUGAUGCCCCUUUAAACUGGACAGCUUCGCUAAAGGGAGUCUUAAGCAAUCCCCAGCCUACUUGCCUUGCCAUCAUAAUCCAUGUUACCUAAGGGACUAGGUUGCUUACCUUAUCUAUUUCUAUCCUUCUUAACAAUAAGCUGGCCUCUUUAGCCUUGUUCACAUCAUGUACAUCUAUGAACUUAGUGCCUGCGAAAUAUUUUACCAAGAUUUAGAAGCUCUGUAGCAGUAAAGAUAAGUAAUGCAUGUCGUCAAUCCCUUCUUAUUCCUGCUUAAUGAUGACUAAUAACCUAGGGGUGAAUGCUAUCGGCAAAUUGUAUAUGGCGAUGUCUCAGAAAUACUCCACGUAUUGUAUGAUAAUAAUCUUUCCUCCUUUCUAAAACAGUUAUCGUACUCAUCUACAAUCUCCCAUCGACGCUCAAACUCAUCUUCACAGUUUCAGUGUAUUUUGUUUGAUACCGCGACGGUAUCGCUCAAAAGCUUACAAAACGAACGACACCGCCGACGCUUUUGGAGAGAAAGAAGAUUUUAGGCUACACUAAAAGAGACUAGAUGCCACUGGAAUGUGUCGGCUGACAGGGAACUUGCAAUCAAAAGUUUUAUGGAUGUAUCAAGAAUAACCGGCGGAGCAAGCGAUGAAAUCUAUUGCGCUAACUUAAAUCCUCGACAAUUAUUCAGAGUUCUAGGCUACAGAUUACCACAACAGCUAUACGUCUGGCGAACGGAAUAGUCAAAGUAGAGCAAAAGACACUAGAAAUCACAUGGAGUCCGAGAGAACUGUAGCAUAGUGCAUAAUCUGUGGCUUCUCCUCAUUAUUAUAAGUCCGAUAUUGAUCAACUCUAAAGAAAUGGCUGAUAUUUCAUGAAGAGAUUGGAGAUCAAUAAGCUCUGAUAUGCAGUAACACACCUACAAUGUGCGCAUAUUUACAUAUUUUCGGGAAUUUUAACAAAAAUAAUUCAAUAUAAAUAUGAGUCAGUCAACUACAAUAAACAGAAAUCUGAUUAAUAAAUAUGAUGAUUUCACUUAACGGUAAAGAACGGCAUGAAUGGUCAAUGGCUACAGAGCAUCUAAUCACAAAAAUAAAGUAAAAGCAAACAGGUAUGAGCAGAAGUGCCGAGAGCAAGCUCCGUGACGCUACAAAAGCUGGCAGCAGGCUCUCCCUCGGGGUUGCAUGAACCACUUACUAUUGUGGAAAUUUAAAUGAAACGAAAUUAAUUCAAUGAACUGGAAACUAGCAAAGGUUUGCACCUAAAAUACGUAACGGAUUUAUGGAAUAUUUAUAUUGAUAAAAACUACUUUCAUAAUUAUAAUAAAUUUUUUAUUUUUAAAAACCAAAUUAAUCUAACAGUAUUUAAGGCCAUUAUUUAAUCAAAGAAAUCUUUGGAUGAUUUUUAGUUUUCAA
This 8776-nucleotide unclassified non-coding RNA is filed under the name Ceratitis capitata (Mediterranean fruit fly). Its description in RNAcentral is "uncharacterized LOC101450619, transcript variant X3". The record is from RNAcentral. Lineage: Eukaryota; Metazoa; Arthropoda; Insecta; Diptera; Tephritidae.